GGCUCGGUGGUGUAGUUGGUUAUCACGUCAGUCUAACAAGGCACUCGCCCUCGGACACUGAAGGUCCCGAGUUCAAACCUCGGCUGAGUCA
This is a non-coding RNA of Phaeosphaeriaceae sp. SRC1lsM3a, 91 nucleotides long. Lineage: Eukaryota; Fungi; Ascomycota; Dothideomycetes; Pleosporales; Phaeosphaeriaceae. The record is from the annotation of a GenBank genome assembly.